UUGUCCUACUUCCACGACGUGGUGCCAUUCGACGGACUCUGGCUGGACCUGAACGAGCCGUCGAGCCUGUACAACGGCUCCGAGCGCGGAUGCCCGGCUUCAACGCUGGAGGAACCGCCGUAUCUGCCCGGCGAAGGCUACGAGGCGUUGCGCACCAAGACGCUAUGCAUAACGGGUCGCCACUACCUGCCCAGGCACUACAACUUGCACAACCUGUACGGGCUGACCGAGGCACUGCGCACAUACGAAUGGAUCAAAUCCCGGCCGUGGCAGACGCAUUUCGAUAAAGG
Molecule: long non-coding RNA, 290 nt
Filed under: Dermacentor andersoni
Lineage: Eukaryota; Metazoa; Arthropoda; Arachnida; Ixodida; Ixodidae
Description: uncharacterized LOC126529140
Source: RNAcentral